UACAGAGGGUGCUAGCGUUGUUCGGAAUACUGGGCGUAAAGCGUGCGCAGGCGGUUAUGUAAGACAGAUGUGAAAUGCCCGGGCUUAACCUGGGAACUGCAUUUGUGACUGCAUGGCUAGAAUCUGGCAGAGGGGGGUAGAAUUCCACGUGUAGCAGUGAAAUGCGUAGAUAUGUGGAGGAACACCGAUGGCGAAGGCAGCCCCCCUGGGUCAAGAUUGACGCUCAUGCACGAAAGCGUGGGGAGCAAACAGG
This 253-nucleotide ribosomal RNA is filed under the name uncultured bacterium. Its description in RNAcentral is "partial 16S ribosomal RNA". It matches the Rfam family "Bacterial small subunit ribosomal RNA", at positions 524 to 776 of the family's 1533-position model. The record is from RNAcentral.